CAGUGUUUACUUCAUUUUGUAAAACGGACAGCUCAUCAUUACUAAAUUCUCAGGUAAAUACCUUUUUCUACUGUAAUUUGGUGUUGAAUUUUGCGUGUGCUUGUUCUGUAUAUAUUGAAUUCAAUUUUUCUUCUUUUAAAGUGCUUGUAUUUGUUUCUAUGAAAUUUUUUUCUUUCCCUUUUUCUGUUUUCUUUUGGUUAAUUCCACACAAACAAUUGCUAGCGGCCAAAUGUUGGUUUAAUAAGGAAUGAGAUUGACGAGGUUACAUAUUUGUGGGUUGGUUAGUUACGAGAUUUAUAUUUGGUGUUACUUCCUUUAAUAUUAAUUUUAUUGAUCAAGAGAAAUCAUUUGACUUAAAACAUAUUGUACUAAACGAAUUAUCAAGGUACUUAACUAGCUAGUUGGGUAUGAUCUUAAACUUGUGAUAUGAGUGUCACUCAUGUUCAGCUAUGAUUGUUUCUUUAAUGUGAACACCUACUUUAAGUUGUACUCUGUUUACAGAAAUGUUCAAUAUAUUAUAUACAAAGCGUAUGCAGUAUACCAUACUAGAAAUUCCAUGGUCAAUAAUUUGGUAGGGAUGGUUAUAGCUUUUCUUUAUUUGUCAAGGACCUUAUUAAUUUCUUUCUUUUUUAUUUUAUUUUUGUGGCAUGUACACUUUAGUUUUUCUACAGGUGGAUUUAAAGUGUAUUUGGGUUUAUACUCUUUGGUGUAAAAAUUAUUUGGUACUAUUUUAACUAGCUAGAACGUUAUCCAAUUACUUUUCCUUUACAUAACGCUCACGUUAUAGUUGGUUCAUUUGCAUCUUGUCUUGUUUCUACCAAGUUUUAUGAAACAUUCCUGCUCCAUAAAAGAGUCACAUUUGUUAUUAAAAAAAAUUUGAUAAUUGUAAAAUUAAAAGAAUCCUCCUUUUAUUGGUUUUAGUAUAAAAUGAAUAAUAUCCUCAAGUUCAUCAUUAUAAUUUCAUUAUCAUGCCACCGCUACAUCGUAAAUUACACUUUAUUAUUUAGAGGUCAACAUGAAACAAAUAUACAUCCUUAAUAUUUUUAUUAGACUUUUUUUGUAGGUCGAAGGAACUGGUAAUUAUGGGAAGAUAACUUAGAGCAACUUUAUGGGUAUUUUCCCUUUAUUUUAUUAUUUAGAGGUCAACAUGAAACAAGUAUACAUCCUUAAUAUUUAUAUGGGACUUUUUUUGUAGGCCGAAGGAACUGGUGAUUAUGGGAAGAUAACUUAGAGCUACUUUAUGGGUAUUUUCCCUUCAUUUUGCACUUGUAAAAUGCUCUUACUGUCUAACAUAUAUCCUAUCCCUUUUCCCCCUAGUAUCAUGUUUUUUCCUUCUAGGUAUUGAGCUAAUCCCUCUCUGAUUUUUAUUGUUAACUCUCAAUCUCAAUCCAUUUGUUGAUUAUAUGUGCUGGACAUGGUAAUAACCUUAAUCCUUUUAAUCAAGGCUCUGAGAAUUUAAAGAAAAAGUUGAUCUGCUGAUUACUGUACUAUUAAGUGACAAUUUACUAGUAUUAAUCAUCAGCACUUGCAUCAGUGAGUGGAAAAUUGAAGUUGGGGGUGAGGACAGCAGUCAUAGUAGAACGAGUCUUACAGUAAUUGUGCUCAAUUUAAGACACUAUUGAGUGGUUCUUUGAUGAGAAAUCUUCACUGUAACCGAUUUAUCAAUCAUUUAUCAUAUCUUAUUUUUUUGUUCUGUUAUUCAAUUUCAUUACUUAUUCGUACACCUAAUGAUGAAUAUCUUUUUGGUUCUAUUAAAUUUUUGUUUAUUGGAUCAUGGGAAUAAUCGGUCAUUGGUUUGAUUGAAAGUGUAUUGUGGGGAGUACUAACAAUAGGGUGUAGCUGAAAGUGUAGAUCACUUGUUAUGUGCACUACUUUGAUUUGGUUUGAUAAUUCCUGUUCCGUGUAGUCCAUCAUGAGUGGGAGGAUCACUUGUUGGGUCUUACUUGUUGAUUUCUACCUGCAUCCCACUGUGUUUCACUUUUGUCUUCAAUGAUGGUGGUAUAUUGGAUGGAUUCAUAU
Molecule: long non-coding RNA, 2019 nt
Filed under: Panax ginseng (ginseng)
Lineage: Eukaryota; Viridiplantae; Streptophyta; Magnoliopsida; Apiales; Araliaceae
Description: long non-coding RNA (PGIN_LNC012480)
Source: RNAcentral